Molecule: long non-coding RNA, 1099 nt
Filed under: Castor canadensis (American beaver)
Lineage: Eukaryota; Metazoa; Chordata; Mammalia; Rodentia; Castoridae
Description: lncRNA (ENSCCNG00000027340.1)
Source: RNAcentral
GAGCGUCGCGGUGUGGGGUUUGGGUUUGGUGGGAGGUUACGUGUCACGGGUCACAGCUAUGAGAUGUCACUUCCCUCCACUCUAGCCCGGGCUGGAGCCAGUGGGGAGGUCACGCAGGUCGUUGUUACAGACUCAGAUUUGCAGUCUGGUCCAGCGCACCGCUGUGCGCGCAGCCACGCGCGGGGCUGCCCUCCUCCGCUCACGUGUGGGCGCGCAGAGACGCGGGUGACCGUACCACGCACCCACAGGGUGCAGACGCGUGCCCACAGACAUGGGCGCAGCACAGGACGCGGACACCCAGCCGCGAGCAUCCUCGCCCUGGCGCUAUCACCCCCUCGGAGGCGAUAGGGGUGGGGACGCCCUAACCUUCUUGUGACCGCACUUCUCCUCCAUCCCGGGCUGGAACUCGUCUUUCCCCUGGGAGUCCCAGGGAGGAGAAGUGCGCCCUCCCCCGAGGCAGGACAUUGGGACAGGGGUGCUGGCAGCGAGCCCCGCCACCCCUCGCUUACCUUCGUCGCGAGGCCAACUCUUGGGCUUGACUGCGUCGCGAUGGGCAAGGCGCGCGGGGUGGUUGGCGCUGGAGCAGGCGCAGACGCCCGUCCGUGGGUGUCCCGCGAGGCGCCCCAGCUGUCAAGGCAGCCGACUAGACCCCCACGGCCAGGGCAAACCCCGUCUGCCGGCCUCCGCCUGGCUCCGCUGCGGGGACAGAGGCGCCCCGCAGCGUUUCCCAAAGGCCCAAUCCGGAGCGGGGGGCUGGCCCGGGGCAGCGAGGAAAGGAGGGCGGUCGGGCACCGGGACGCAGGCCUGGACCUGCUGUCUACUGGUCUCCCCACUGAGACCCUGGGGAGAGAAGAGGGCUGGAGAUUGAAUUGAGUUCAGUCACCAAAGACCAACGGUUUAAGCAGCCCAGGUUAUGGAGUUUACAGUGUGGUGCUGUGUUGGUGAACACAACGUGCUGGGAGGGUGAGCAGGUAAGUACAUAGAAACCCUGACUGCCUACUUGACACUACCACCUUACUUAUUCAUCUCAUCCAUUUGAUUGUUCCUGAGUUGCAUACUUUUAAAUAAAACUGCAAUUGUAAAGUAUUGUACCUUUCUG